GGGCUAUCCCGGUAAGUAUGACAUGGAGUGUCCAGGAGUACAAUUUACAGCUCUGCAUGGCUCUCUCUGGCUACCCAGGUGUGCAAGUUACAAAGAUAUAAGGGGACAUUAACUGCGUGCUCUCGUAGAGACUUCUGUCCUAGAGUCUGGCUAUACUCUGCAUCUCAUGCUGGAUAACCAAUCUGGUGCACUGUCGGCAGAUGCAGGAAAUACAGGCUAUAUACAGGCUAUAUACAGAACCCAGGCCGGGGAAGCGGCGGUGUGGACAGGGACGCCUCGACACGGGAGUCCAGGUCAAGGAGUCGCCAGCCUGGUCGGUUGGGAGAUCAGGACGCUGAUGGGGCCACGGCCGGCAGGUCAACAGCACGACUGGAGGGUGCUUUACACGGGCCAGGCGGUGAGUGCUCCAGGGGUGCCGGGGGGAUGC
Xenopus laevis (African clawed frog) is the source of this 427-nucleotide long non-coding RNA. RefSeq lists it as uncharacterized. NCBI's taxonomy places the organism in Eukaryota, Metazoa, Chordata, Amphibia, Anura, Pipidae. The record is from RefSeq and is a predicted model, not a curated record. The transcript is spliced from 3 exons.